RNAcentral lists this long non-coding RNA (6813 nucleotides) under Lactuca sativa (garden lettuce). RNAcentral's name for it is "long non-coding RNA (LSAT_LNC005268)". The record is from RNAcentral. Lineage: Eukaryota; Viridiplantae; Streptophyta; Magnoliopsida; Asterales; Asteraceae.
UGGCCUUCAACUUGCAAAACCACUAAGUAUGGGACCUAGAACACUCCUUGGAUUCUUGUAGAACCUUGGAAAUACCUCAAAAAUACUCCCCAUCAUGAGUGUACGGCCGCACACCCAUGGACAUACACACCCUCAAGGUGGUCGUACACCUCACUCACUCAAUCACAUGUGAUUUUUACACUUAGUUCAAGUGUUUCCAAGUCCCUAAAGUGGUUUCCCCAACAUUUCUAGCAGUGAAAUACCCUAAUUUGACUCCUAAAUGUGUUAUUACAUGUUAAAUAGGAUAUAAUUGUAUUCGAGGCUUCACUAGGCACUCAACAUCUCAAACCGAUCUUUCGUUCAAACAAUUCACUCAAGGUGAGUUCAUACCCCUACAUUUUCCGUGUUUUUAAUGUUUUCAGGGGGAAUACAAGUAAAAGUACAAGGAAACUUGUGCUCAAAAUAUAUUAUUUUGUUUAAGAUAAUUAUAUUUUCAUAAUGCUUCUAACAUGGAAAACUGUUUUUACCAAACGAUUAAGAAAUCAACUCGUAGAAAUAGUUUUCAAAACUAGGAUAAUGAACUUAUGAAUCUGGUAGCAAAAUGUAACUUUUUAUAAAGGAUUCAUGUUAAUCACAAAAGGAUUUUUUAUAUUAUUACUUGUGAAUUCGAGAGUGUAGGAUUAGCACUUGUAACCAGAAUCUCUUAUAGGGAGAGCGUGACUGUUGUGUACAGAUCUAUACAGGACUAACUAUCCCACACCUUGCUGCCAUUUACAAUUGGACGGUUAGUUCCAGGGGUGACAAAGUCAUAAAAAGAUGCUGGCCCUGUUACGUUCCAUAUCAAGUUUUAGUACGGUUAUGACACUCGCAACCUAGAUAAUAGAGAUUUACUUUUGUAAUAAAGAAUCAAGUGAACUAACCUCAAAGUAAUAACCGAUUUGAUUACUAGAGGGUAUUAGUAAUACCAUUAGGAUUUAGUUCACCACAUAUUUAUUAGUUUUAUUUAUGCAAUAAAGCUAAAACGUCUCGUAUUCCAAGGAAAAUAAGGGAUUAUCCCAGCCUUAACCUACUUCUAGUGGUAACCAGGGUUUCCAAUAAGAAACUAUGUUUAAUCUAUAUAUGUAUGGUAGACACUUAUACUUUCUAAUAUAAAUCGAGUAAUUCAAUAGUUCUCACUUAAGGUAAAUGUAGGAUUUCCCGGUGUAAUCACCGGUAGUUUUUUAAUAGGUGGUUUACAAAUUAACUAAUAACCAUUCAUCAUUAAUUUCAUGAUUCUGUAGUUUAUACAUAACUAGUAUGAACCAAGAAGUCAUAGAAUAAAUGGGUUCAAAGAUAAUUUUCAUAAGAAAAGAUGGGAUUUUCUUGAGGAACUUUAUUUCAACUGAUAUCAAAGAGUCAUUUUUCUUUAGGUCAAUAUUUUUAAUUUCACCGAACAGUAAGAGAUUUUCGGGAAAAAUAUAACGUUUUUCAAAAGAACCGAGAACCGUUUUCCCUAAAACAAAAUGCUUAUGAACUCACCAGCUUUAUGUUGACAUUCUUUCAAAAUCUACUUGUAUUCUUAGGAAGACUGCUUAGUAUCAGGCUGUGAAUUUUGUUGUCUUUUGUAUUUCCUUGACUUUAGAAUAUGUAAUGUUUAAAACACUUAUGUAAAACUUAUACCUAUUAAUGCAAUGGUUGGCUAUACUUUGAUUACUAUAAUGGAUGUGUUGUGAUACUUACAUGACGUCAUCUGCCCCCGAACGUUUCUGCCAUUUCGGUUUCGGGGUGUGACAGAUUGGUAUCAGAGCAUUGUUAAUAGUGAACUAAGUAUAUCAAUCAUAAAAGAUAUACAACUAUAAACUCAUUGGAAUAAAAACACUCUUACCAGGAAUUAUACUUUAGAAAUAUAUAUCAUUAUGUUAUAAAAGUACAAAUAUAUAUCUAGAAUAUGUAUAUACUAGAACAAGAAUCGUAAGAAGUACAUAAUAAAAGUAUUUGGAGGUUGGACACUACGGUUAAACCUGGGCAGUUAUGUAAUCAUGUCUAGGAUCAAUAUAGCCUGAUCAACUAUAUUUAUUCGAUACAUGACCAACAUGUGCUUGCGAGUGAUUGUAGUGUUUCAACAAGUCUAAAACUUACAUAUAUACCCAAAAAAUUUCUAGAACCAAACAUAAAGGUUAAAAUACUAUAGGAGUAUUUUAGCUACUAUAAGAUAAUAACGGAGUACCGUGGAUACAAUUACAAUACUGUAGAAACAGUACUAGACUAAAUGUCUAUUAACUAUCUCUUAACCCCUAUUCUCGCAUAGAUAUCAUGGCGGGAAUCUAUCUCCCUGGUGACCCAUACUUUCCCAACCGAGGAAAUGGAGGAUGGCUUGAUGAUGAGGCAGAAGAAGAACCUGCAAUCCCCUUAGAUGAUCACUCCGCCAAGAAGUAUUCGGAGGGUUCCGACUCCGAGCCCGAAGUCAAUAAUUUACCCCCAGUGACUCCUGUCCCAAAUUCUAACCCUCAUUCGGUUUUUCAAGGCCCGACGCCUCCAUGGGUGGAAAGCUUGGAAACAUAGAGUCAAGAGCAAAAUCAACCUAUGCCCUUCAAUGGAGACAUAUUUUUUUACGAUCUGAGCCCAGGAGGCUUAGUAGAUAGGUUCCUACCAAUCCUGAUCCGUAGGGUUGCUCGGAUUGAAAUACAAGGUAGGACAGCCCUCAACAGAGUCAUGGAAGUGGAUGCCAAUGCGAGACUGCAUACAGUCCACACCAUCCGUCUUGAAGAUGCUCGUGAGAGGUCUAAGAGAGACAAUGAGGCCCUGCAUCGAGAGCUUGUUGCAACUCGAGCUGAAGUCAUAGAACUCCGAGUAAGCCAAAGAGUAUUCGAACGACACCUUCUUGACAUCGAGCGGCAGCUGGAUAACUUAAGGAUCCGUUCAAGGAGUGCCCGUUGCUAGUAGGACUACUCUACUCAUCCGUUCUUUUAGUUAAGAAUAGUCUUCCUACCUAUGCUCUAAGUAGCUCUUUUUCCCGUAAACAUCUUUGUAUUGCAAGUACUGUUUUUACUAGUUCUAUAUGUUGUCAAUUUUCCCUCUGUUGGUAUGAUGUAGACCUAUUCCUAGGUCAAAUUUUCCUAACUUUGUGUAAUCUUAAUACCAACUAUAAAGACAACAAUCUUAAUUCAGUUAAAGGUCAUCAUUAGCAAAAAUAUAUCUCAGAUCAGUAACCAGUGAACUAAGUAACUUUAUCAAAGUCGUAUCACCAUUUCAUCUACGAAACGUGUUCAUAGACUGUACUCUUACCCUGGACGAUCACUCUUUUCCCAUCAAAGUCAUUCCAUUAUCCCUAAAUAGAGCUUAGAUGUUAUAAUCGACAUGGAUGGGUUGAGUUUCAAUCACGUUCAUAACCUCUGUUUUGAGAAAACAAUUCGACCUAAUCUUCCCUCUGGCGAAGCCCUCGCUAUUUUCCAUGAUAAACUCAGUUCAAAAUUUCGUAUCAUUUCAUGAAUCAAAACCCCGAAAUGCUUACUAAAGGAAUGCUUUGCAUUUCUAGCUCAUAGUGUGGAUGGAAUGCAAAGGUUAAAGACCACGAGAGCUUUCCCCGAAAUCUACAAUUUUCCUGACUUCUUUCCCAAUAACCUUCCAGGGAUUCCUCCUGAACAUCAAGUCCAGUUUCAUAUCGACUUAAUUCCCGGAGCUGCCCCUAUAGCUAAACCUUCAUAUCGUCUAACACCGGCGGGAAUGCAAGAAUUUUCCAGCCAGCCCACUAAACUGAUCAGCGAAGGAUUCAUAAGACUGUGUUAUGUGGGCCUUAUUAUGAAUUGUUUCCAAAUCUUUUUGAAAAAUCGAAAAUCAAUGUUCACCAAUUGAAGAUAACUUAGUUCGGAUAACACUCGGUCUUGAAUCACUAUAGAACACCUACUUCUAUUCCUGCUAGGACCACACCAUAGGGAUGUGGGUCGAAUCCAUGAGAACCGGAUGAUAAAAUGGGAAAUUUUCAUGCAUAUAUAUAUAUAUAAACAUUAAAAAUACAGCCAGAGGCAACCAUUGUUUCUCACAAACUCCUUUUCUUGACAUGUAGCAGAUCAUGCCACUGAAGAAACGUAAUCAACCCAUUAGUAAAACACCAACCCUUCAGAUGGAUUUAGCUACGUUCCAAGCUGCCAUCACAACAGCCGUAGCAGCCAUCCUAGCUAUCCUUAACACUAACUACAUGAAUACUAGUGGAAAAGUUAACAACAAUCCUAAUCUUGGUGAUAACCAAAUUCAAAAACAAGUGCCUACUAGAAAAGGCACACCUGACCUCAAACCUAAUACCCUGAAGCGAAAGUUCGAGAACGAAAAAGGGAGUUGUUCAACCUAAGGACCUACUGAAAGGAAAUGAACUAGGACAACCAAUACCACCGUCAACUCCGCUAUUCAUACACCAACCACACCCUAUUUGGGAAACCUCUUGUACUGUAGCGAAUGCAACUACCAUCACUAUGGAGUUUGUCGAGUGCUGCAUUGCCCUAGAUGCAACAAGAAGGGACACAUCAUCCGCAUCUGUAGGACCCCAGUCGAGUUCAUCACUCCGACUACCAAUUCUAGGACUAAUCCAACGUGUCACCUAUGUGGUAGAGUAGGACAUUCCAAGAGAGAAUGUCCAACAGAAAAGAACGACGAAGAUGCGAGAGGGGUUUGACCCCCAGAGAAUGGGGAAGCAUCAAAGAACCUUGCUAUAUUUUGGUACAUUUUCGAAAGCCCCAAUAAUUGUUCAAAGUUGUAACUACUCUUUCGCUCAAAUUAAAUCACAACAUUCACUUAAACUUGAAGCCUUAGUGGGUAAACUAUGAUGGCUUCGUAAAUAAUCCUGCAUUGUUUCCCGUUCCUUGCUUAGUUGAGGACUUAGGGCAGGGUCAUGCAGUCAAAGGUCUUGCCAAUUUUUACUAUACAUGACUUUUAUACACCAAGCAGUUAUACAAAGACUUAGUAAGAAUCAUUUCAUAAAAGGUCCAUAACUUCAAAGUAUCAAGACCCUCGUAUUAGUAGUAACCGCCAACUUCGAAUCAAAACACUUCCUCCGAACUAACUUAAUGCGCAAUUCGACGACGUCAUUCCACUUAGUCCGACUAAGUCUACGUCAUACCAAACCCGCACGUCCCUAAGCAGACCCUUCACAUUAAACCGCUCGAAUCCCAAAAUUCUCAUCACCCAUAACGGCAAACUAGAUGCAAACUUCUAAAAUUCAUUUCCCUUUAAAACCUGAAAGUGUUGAUGCGAAGAGUAUGAAUUAGAACAGCGGUUACAAUAGUGAAGAUCCGUUGAAACAUCCAGCGAGAAUCCGAAUUCAAAAUGGACAGAUUCACCCGAAUAUAACUUCGAGGAGUAGUCCGCUUUCAUGGGGUACCUGUAUCCAUUAUCUCCGAUCGAGAUAGCAGGUUUACCUCGAGAUUCUGGUAGUCACUAUAGAAGGCUCUCGGAACUAAGCUGGAUAUGAGCACGGCUUAUCAUCUAGAGACAGAUGAAUAGAGUGAGAAAAUAGUACAUACAUUUGAAGAUACAUUGAGGGUUUACGUCAUCAACUAGGGCAUGUCGUGGGAUACUCAUCUACCCUGAGUUGAAUUUUCGUACAACAACAGCUACCGUACCAAUAUCAAGGCUGCACCGUUGAAGCGCUCUAUAGUCAUAAGUACAGAUCCCCUCUGUGAUGGCCUGAAGUAAGUGACACGCAGCCAGUCAAGUGUCAAGUCCCUGACAGCACUCUCACAGGUCCUGAGAUCAUCCGAGAAGUAGACUAAAAAGAUUGUAUAAAUCAAAGGUACAUUGAACCAUUCGAGAUCCUUGCUAGGAUUAGUUCAUGUAGCUUACAAACUCUGUUUACCUCGAGAACUUAGCAACAUAUAUAAUCUCCUUCACGAAUAGAACCUAAAGAAGUGUCUGUUCGAUGAGACAUUCGUCAUUCCUCUCGACGGGAUCGAACUAGAUGAGAGUCUACACUUUGUGGAAGAACCUAUUGAAAUCAUGGACCGGGAAGUCAAAAGAACAAAAAAGAGUUGCAUCCUGAUAGUGAAGGUUCGCUAGAAUGCCAAUUAGGGACCUGAAACAAAAGUACCCUCGUCUUUUUCCAAAUCCAUGAUUCGUAUCUUUAUUCUUGAAUUUUGGGACGAAAUUCCCUCUAACAGGGGGAUGAUGUGACAACCCGAAACUUUUAUCUUGUUCGUCUAGUCGGUUUAAUCAAUGUUAAAAUUAUUUCUGUUAACUCCUAACAUCGUAAAAGGGUUCAUUUAAGUGUUCUAAGCUUAUGUACAACCAACAUAAAGAUUAGGAAUGAGGUGGACGCACACACCUUAAAGCCCCUCGAGAGUUAGAAUGUGGCCUCUAUCUUCUAGUUGGACACGACCCUAGCCUUGAUUCUCUUGAAAAAUCGACAUUUUGUCAUGGAUGAAGACAGUAAGGCCGCACACCCCUCUGUAUGGCUGCACACUCAUUUGUACAGCCGCACACGCCUUGUACGGCCGCACACACCUCCCAGAACCGUAAACACCCACUUUGAUGUUCAUAUUUGGCCUUCAACUUGCAAAAACACUAAGUAUGGGACCUAGAACACUCCUUGGAUUCUUGUAGAACCUUGGAAAUACCUCAAAAAUACUCCCCAUCAUGAGUGUACGGCCGCACACCCAUGGACGUAUACACCCUCAAGGUGGUCGUACACCUCAGUCACUCAAUCACAUGUGAUUUUUACACUUAGUUCAAGUGUUUCCAAGUCCCUAGAGUGGUUUCCCCAACAUGUCUAGUAGUGAAAUACCCUAAUUUGACUCCUAAAUGUGUUAUUACAUGUUAAAUAGGAUCUAAUUGUAUUCGAGGCUUCACUAGGCACUCAACAUCUCAUAC